Molecule: small RNA, 492 nt
Filed under: Pan troglodytes (chimpanzee)
Lineage: Eukaryota; Metazoa; Chordata; Mammalia; Primates; Hominidae
Description: retained intron
Source: RNAcentral
UUCGUGACCGAGAACACGUCUGUCCUAGGUCUGCGAGUUUGCCCUGAACCUGACCAACGGGAGUGCGCCCGAGGAGACGGUGCCCACCAGCACCCGGCAGCAGCUUAUCGCCACCUGGGUCAAGGCCAAGCAGCUGCUGCAGCAGCAGAUUGGGCCACGGCUGGGCACCGAGGAGCAGGGCACCAAUGAGGAUGUCAGCUCGGUGACCAGAGUCCUCGUUGCCUUGGAAAUGUACUCAUGCAACGGGCUGGGCCUCAUGGACUUCACUGUCCCCUCCCUGGCCCAGUUGGUGAAAAUGGCUUCCGAGUGCAACUGGUCGGACCCCCUGGUGGAGCUGCAGACCCUGACGCGGCUGACCCACUUCGCCCAUGCAGCGCGUGACCAUGAGACCACCAUGGCCUGCGCUCACAGGGCUCUGGAGAUGGGCAUCAAGUACCUGAAGAAAUUUGGGCCGUAAGUAACCCUCAUGACUGGACAAAUUCCCCCAAAACG